RNAcentral lists this ribosomal RNA (457 nucleotides) under uncultured bacterium. RNAcentral's name for it is "bacterial SSU rRNA". It matches the Rfam family "Bacterial small subunit ribosomal RNA", at positions 340 to 786 of the family's 1533-position model. The record is from RNAcentral.
UACGGAAGGCAGCAGUGGGGAAUAUUGCACAAUGGGCGAAAGCCUGAUGCAGCUAUGCCGCGUGUAUGAAGAAGGCCUUAGGGUUGUAAAGUACUUUCAUCGGGGAGGAAAAAACAAAACUAAUAAUUUUAUUUCUUGACGUUACCCGAAAAAGAAGCACCGGCUAACUCCGUGCCAGCAGCCGCGGUAAUACGGAGGGUGCUAGCGUUAAUCAGAAUUACUGGGCGUAAAGAGCACGUAGGUGGUUUUUUAAGUCAGAUGUGAAAUCCCUGGGCUUAACCUAGGAACUGCAUUUUGAAACUGAAAUACUAGAGUAUCGUAGAGGGAGGUAGAAUUCUAGGUGUAGCGGUGAAAUGCGUAGAUAUCUGGAGGAAUACCUGUGGCGAAAGCGGCCUCCUAAACGAAUACUGACACUGAGGUGCGAAAGCGUUGGGGAGCAAACAGGGAUUUAGAUACC